RNAcentral lists this ribosomal RNA (459 nucleotides) under uncultured bacterium. RNAcentral describes it as "partial 16S ribosomal RNA". It matches the Rfam family "Bacterial small subunit ribosomal RNA", at positions 338 to 795 of the family's 1533-position model. The record is from RNAcentral.
CCUACGGGUGGCAGCAGUGAGGAAUAUUGGUCAAUGGCCGGAAGUCUGAACCAGCCAAGCCGCGUGAAGGACGAAGGUGCCAAGCAUUGUAAACUUCUUUUGUCAAGGGACAAAAUCAGGCUCGAGAGCCUGACCGAGGGUACUUGAAGAAAAAGCAUCGGCUAACUCCGUGCCAGCAGCCGCGGUAAUACGGAGGAUGCGAGCGUUAUCCGGAUUUAUUGGGUUUAAAGGGUGCGUAGGCGGGCUGUUAAGUCAGCGGUAAAAGCCCGGGGCUCAACCCCGGCGAGCCGUUGAAACUGGGUGUCUUGAGAUGGCGAGAGGUAUGCGGAAUGCGCAGUGUAGCGGUGAAAUGCUUAGAUAGUGCGCAGAACUCCGAUUGCGAAGGCAGCAUACCGGCGGCGAUCUGACGCUGAGGCACGAAAGCGUGGGUAUCGAACAGGAUUAGAUACCCGAGUAGUC